RNAcentral lists this small RNA (477 nucleotides) under Drosophila mojavensis. RNAcentral's name for it is "GI27061". Lineage: Eukaryota; Metazoa; Arthropoda; Insecta; Diptera; Drosophilidae. The record is from RNAcentral.
CGCUGCGACUGCUCUACACGCGGUCUCGGUUUCGGUAUCGGUUUUGACUCAUUCGCAAGCUUCGCGUGAGCUUUCGCUAGCAGUUUCGCUUCAAUGUUGGCCUUAAUUUAGUUGGUGCGCGUAUUUAGACCCUCACAGUUGUUACCGUUGCAUAUGAAACACGCAAACGUGCAACAGCAACACGACGAAUAACUAUACAAACCAAUAAGAACAAAAUAUUGUUGAAUUUUGUUUUUUUUUUCUAAGCUUCUUACAGAGAGGAAGAAAGCUCCAAAUCAACAGAAAGUAUUGCGCACGCUAAGGUAAAGGCAGAGGCAAACGCAAACGCAAGUAAAACAACAAAUUCAAAAUCAGCUGAGAAACCGAUGCAGACGCAGCAGUAGCGGCAGCAUCAAGAGUAAGAUUAGCGAAACGUGAGUUCAAAUUGGCAUAAAGUGUACUAAAAAUCAAGGCGAAAAAAAAAAAAAAAAAAAAAAA